This 845-nucleotide long non-coding RNA is filed under the name Phaseolus vulgaris (common bean). RNAcentral describes it as "long non-coding RNA (PVUL_LNC000007)". Lineage: Eukaryota; Viridiplantae; Streptophyta; Magnoliopsida; Fabales; Fabaceae. The record is from RNAcentral.
GCAAAGCAAAGCAUGCCAAGGAACCUUCAUGGCUUCUAAAACCAAUAUUUGCCUCCUUCUCUUUCUCUCUUUCAUCUUCAUUUUUUCUACCAAAUCAGUAUCAGCAACAAACAACCUUGUUCUUGCUUCUGCUGCUUCUGAACAGAAUGCUGGUAACUCAUGAUCAACCUCUCUACCUUUUCUCAAUUUACACACACCACUAAAAGAAAAAACUGAUACUAAAAGAAAAAACUCAUAUUACCUAUACUUCAAAUCUGUAUGUAAAACAAUAAAUUCGUAUUCAAAACAUAGUUACAUACAGAUUAUAUAUAAAAAAAAAUUGUAUGUAAAACUGUCAUAGAUAACAUUUAUCUAUAAAUUCGAAAUUCGGAUAUAAAAAAUGAUUAGUUUUAUAUGUUGUAGGAUCAGGUGAAAUGAGUGAGGGUAGGAAACUCCUUGGAAUAGUUUGUAACAGAAAAAGCACCAAAAAGCGAUGGGAGGCUUCCUUCGAGAUUCACCGAAUUAGUAAGAAUGAUCCAGAAUGCCACAAUUAUCUGUGAUCUUCAAUGUGUUCCACUUCUCUGGAUGAACCACAGAAAGAUACAAAAUAUAUAUAAUUUUUGUUCAUGCAAUUUCUCUGAUUUCAGAUAAGCUCAAACUUAAUCCUUAUAUUGUAAGCUUUUGUCUCUUAAUUUUCUUAAACAGCACACUGUCUCCCAAGUAAAGAUGUAAUAAGGUUUCUGACACCACUCUGUAACAAGAUUCUGGAGAUUCAAUAAAUGUCAAAGAUCUGUUUAUUCUUAGGUGUCAACACUUCAUUUGCUUGGACAAUAUUUCAAAUUUUAAAUGAUUUUUUUUUAUAUUUC